GGAAACGCACCCGUGGACGCGCCUAAUCACCGAAUGCAAGGUGAAGGGAGCGUGCAGUCAGAGGUGUGAAUCUGAGAGCAGGAGCUGUCCGACAACAGAGGUGCUGAAAUUACAGCCACUCGCAUGAAGAUCCAGGUCUACUGACGUGCACCGACACAGCAGUCCAAUUACUGGAAUUACAGCCAAUCCGGCAGAAGCGGUCAGAUGUCAAUUAAAGUCAGCAUGGGUGUCUGUGGCGCGGCUCUUGUUCUGAGGGCCGCCUGGCCUGUGGCGCGCGGGCUCCGCUCUCCACGCUGCUGCGCUAAUCCGUUUAUGGAGCACCUGGGACCGUGGACGGCAAUAACAUGCGCUUAUCCGUCGCCGCCGCGAAACAUGCUCAUCUGUGCACAGCAAUGCGAUAAUGCUCACUUCCCGGGAGGACCAGAAGGCCACUUUACCCCUUGAUUGAACUGUCGACGUCUCUGCGGGUUGAUAACUCCGAGAUGACAGUCAGCGUAUUUGUCACAUUAACCGACAAAUCCGACAAAGCGUCAUGAUCCAGGUUUUUUAAAAGGGAAUUUUGUUAAAUUAUUUUAACUCGUUUUAGGUACACUGUAAAAAAAAUGCAGGAUUUCACACAAUUCAUUCAUGUUGUCAUAACACAAAUCGAGUAUAAAAAAAGUUGAUUGAACAUAAAACAAUUAAGUUGUUGUCAAAAUCCCAAGAGUUUUGUAGUUUCAGCUAAUUUUAAAUAAGCAGUUUUAACACGAAAUCUUUUUUUGUAAGAGUAUAUAUUCGAAGUUCUGUUUGAACUAUUGACAGUGUGAAGUUUUGUUCAGUUUGAUUGAUCAGGGGUCUCUGUGAAUGAACGGGGCCUGUUUGACUGACGUGAGUUUCUCAAUG
Molecule: non-coding RNA, 882 nt
Organism: Danio rerio (zebrafish)
Lineage: Eukaryota; Metazoa; Chordata; Actinopteri; Cypriniformes; Danionidae
Source: Ensembl